UGGGGAAUAUUGGACAAUGGGCGAAAGCCUGAUCCAGCCAUGCCGCGUGUGUGAAGAAGGUCUUCGGAUUGUAAAGCACUUUAAGUUGGGAGGAAGGGCAGUAAGCGAAUACCUUGCUGUUUUGACGUUACCGACAGAAUAAGCACCGGCUAACUCUGUGCCAGCAGCCGCGGUAAUACAGAGGGUGCAAGCGUUAAUCGGAAUUACUGGGGGUAAAGCGCGCGUAGGUGGUUCGUUAAGUUGAAUGUGAAAGCCCCGGGGUCAACCUGGGAAAAUCAGCCAAAACUGGCGAGCUUGAAUAGGGCAGAGGGGGGUGGAAUUUCUUGUGGAGCGGUGGAAAGCGUAGGUAUAGGAAGGAACACCAGUGGCGAAGGCGACCACCUGGGCUCAUACUGACCCUGAGGUGCGAAAGGGUGGGGAGCAAACAGG
RNAcentral lists this ribosomal RNA (429 nucleotides) under Pseudomonadota bacterium. RNAcentral's name for it is "Proteobacteria bacterium partial 16S ribosomal RNA". It matches the Rfam family "Bacterial small subunit ribosomal RNA", at positions 355 to 776 of the family's 1533-position model. Lineage: Bacteria; Pseudomonadati; Pseudomonadota. The record is from RNAcentral.